UAGUUUAUAUCGAUAUAGUCUACAUUAUCAUUAUACUCGUGGAGCCGCAAGUUUGCCUCUCUUUCGUCCACUUUUGUCUCUACGCUGUGUUACUCCGCCUCUCUCCUUCACUGAACACAACUCCCCCUCCCCCAUCGCUUCACCUGCAGGCAACGACAAGAUGGACACGGCAGCUAUCAAAGAGGAGCUGAGAAUUAAAAGCCAACUCCAGACCACUGCUUGUCCUGAUUUAUGAGGGACUGAUGAGGAGUUGGUAAGGAGAGGAAUCAGAACAGGAGUGCCUGCCCCCCGCCCCAAACACAUUAUCAGCUUUUGUAUGCAGUGCCAGUUCUGCUCUUUUGUCUGUUCAAGCCAAGAAGUACUCUUAAGACAUCACCAGCUACGACAUAGAAGAGGAUUUCAUUUGCCCUGUGUUUACAGUGACUGCGUCUGUUCGUUCAGGACACGAGGGGCAUUGAAGUCUCACCUCAGCAGAUCACACAACAGGGCUAAGAAAAGAACCAAAAGGUGAAGAAGACGGAUAAGAACAUGGCACUCAUCACCCAAAAGAUGGACAUCACAUUCUCUCUCAGGAGGAAAGAAGUUGUGGAGAUGCAGCCCUUGGUCAAGGAAAUGCAGCUCAGAUGGCCAGCUCUCUUCUUGAAAGAACAGAUUUGUGCGGAAUUCUCACGCAUUACCACCAAGGAUCUCAUGGGGACCUUCAUGACUGCCCUCGACACUUACUCACUUCGGCUGAUUAAGCUGUAUCGAAUUAGAAAAGCUGCUUUCCGCAAUGACAUGGAUUCCCUGUUGCAGAAGUUUGAUGAACAGGUAAUAUAUAAAAAUGUAUUUGUGUCUGGUUUAUGAGGAACCUGAAGUUCCCACUGUAACGAAAGAUACUUUAUUAAAUAUUUACUAAAUUGAUGUAAAAAUUGUUAGUUUUCAAAAAGUGUGUCCUGAAUGGGAUUAUAAGCUAACAAGCAGCGCUGUGUUUGGCAGAUUGCAGGUAAUGACAGACAGUUCAACUCUCAUCCCACUCAUGGCAC
This is a long non-coding RNA of Astatotilapia calliptera (eastern happy), 1025 nucleotides long. NCBI's taxonomy places the organism in Eukaryota, Metazoa, Chordata, Actinopteri, Cichliformes, Cichlidae. The record is from Ensembl.